Esox lucius (northern pike) is the source of this 958-nucleotide long non-coding RNA. RefSeq lists it as uncharacterized. The record is from RefSeq and is a predicted model, not a curated record. The transcript has 5 exons. NCBI's taxonomy places the organism in Eukaryota, Metazoa, Chordata, Actinopteri, Esociformes, Esocidae.
GCAUAUUGUAUAUUAUUAAACAGCAGAAAAACUAUUUUGAAAUUAACACUGUUCUUGGUUGUAACUUCAACAGCACAUAUGCAGGAAUGUCCUGUCUGCACAAAAAUGUUUCCUACUGACUUUAUUGAGGUACACGCUUCUUCAUGUGUGGAAAGGUAUCCAUUUACUUUGUAUUGUUAAUGUUUUUUCUCUUGUCAGGAAUUCCUACACUAUCAGUUAAACACAGAAAUAUUUGUAUUUGGGUAGGGCAGGAAAAGAGGUGAUGCAUGAAAGCAUUGUAAUUGAGGAAGAGCAAGCAGCAAUGCCUGGACCAUCCGGAACUUGUGCAACUGCUACAGAUGGCUGGUUAACUAUCAGUGACCCCACCAAGGCCAUAUCUCAGUGUGCUGACAGUUUUCUCCGUAUUCAUGAAACGAAGAGCCCCUUACUUCUCAGCAUGGACAUCAGAAAAAGUCCUGCUGAACAGGACAUGGCCUUAAUCUCCUUCUACAAGCGAACUAAUGUGGAAUGGGGACGGCCUCUGAAUUGCAAACUUGAAGGAGAUUGUGCUAUUGGACAGGGUGUAACUCGCUUCUUUUUCUCAAAAUGCAUGGAAAAACUGAAGUCAGGGUUUUGCAUCAAUUUUGCAAACUCAAAUGUUACACGGCUUUUUGAAGGAGAGCCUGGUCAUUUAGUCCCCUCAGCCUCUCACUUUCUUGUGGAAAGUGAUAUGUUCAUGGUGGCGGGGAGAAUGGUAGGCCACUCCUUUCUUCAUGGAGGACCAUGCCUGUUGGGGCUCAGCCCUGCUGUUGUUCAUGUCCUGCUUGGUGGGAGUCCUGAAACUGCAACUGUUACACUAUAGGACUGUCCAGACCUGGACAUCAGAGAAACAAUCGAUCUUCUUGAUGGGGGAUCCAUACUGUCAGAUAAGGAUAAACAGCGUGUCCAGGACCUGGCCCAUGCCUGGGACCUCCCUUGC